AUCUGUCGAGUGGCUAUUGGACUGACGUACUGGACUUGGUUCAUCCAAAAAUCAAACCACAAAGAGGACCACAAGAAGAGAACCAAAUGCCAAAUGGUCAAAUGCAUCCAAAUGUUAACCUCAAGGGCUGCAGAUGGGGGGAAAGAGACAAGGGUUGGCCCGAAACCAAAACCAAGGAGAAACAGAAGAGCAAGAUUGGAUUUUUAAACGAAGGAAACAAACAACUAGGCGUUCAAAAAGAUGGAAUCUUUGGCUCCAACAGCCAUGAAAUCCAACCGGAAAAGAGAGGGGGAGGGAACUAUAUUAAUUGCAUUAAUGCACGGAAAGGAAAUCAGAUUUGCUGGGCCUGGAAGAUUUUGGUUACAUGAAUCAAAGGAAAUGUUAAUGUGACAGGCUGAGAGGAUCACAAUCUGGAGAAAAAAUGGCCUUGCAGUUGGUAAAAAUUACAAGAGCGGCCACCAUUUCCUAUUUCUUUCUCCAA
This 481-nucleotide long non-coding RNA is filed under the name Elaeis guineensis (African oil palm). Its description in RNAcentral is "long non-coding RNA (EGUI_LNC022223)". The record is from RNAcentral. Lineage: Eukaryota; Viridiplantae; Streptophyta; Magnoliopsida; Arecales; Arecaceae.